GAGUUUGAUCCUGGCUCAGAGCGAACGCUGGCGGCAGGCCUAAUACAUGCAAGUCGAACGGACCCUUCGGGGUUAGUGGCGGACGGGUGAGUAACACGUGGGAACGUGCCCUUUGGUUCGGAACAACUCAGGGAAACUUGAGCUAAUACCGAAUGUGCCCCCAUCCUUAAACAAGGUGGGUGGGAAAGGUUUAUCGCCAUUGGAGCGGCCCGCGUCUGAUUAGCUAGUUGGUGGGGUAAAGGCUCACCAAGGCGACGAUCAGUAGCUGGUCUGAGAGGAUGACCAGCCACACUGGGACUGAGACACGGCCCAGACUCCUACGGGAGGCAGCAGUAGGGAAUCUUGCGCAAUGGGCGAAAGCCUGACGCAGCCAUGCCGCGUGAAUGAUGAAGGUCUUAGGAUUGUAAAAUUCUUUCAGCGGGGACGAUAAUGACGGUACCCGCAGAAGAAGCCCCGGCUAACUUCGUGCCAGCAGCCGCAGUAAC
This 485-nucleotide ribosomal RNA is filed under the name uncultured bacterium. RNAcentral describes it as "bacterial SSU rRNA". It matches the Rfam family "Bacterial small subunit ribosomal RNA", at positions 9 to 524 of the family's 1533-position model. The record is from RNAcentral.